AAGAACUGAUUCUAUCAAAAUCUAUUUUAUAAAAGAUAAUUCUAUCAAAAUAUGAUAAUUGAUUCUUUCCACCGCACAACCAAUCAAGACAUAAUGAAACCUCCUAAUAACCACAUCUAACUUUCAGAAACCUCAAAAAGAUCGUAAAAUAUCACAAUCACAGUGGCCAACUGAGUUUCCAAACACAUAACCAGUGACAUGGUUACUAUAACAUAUAACUGAUAUGACUGGUCAAAAUAUAAAUAAAGAUGAAAAA
This 256-nucleotide long non-coding RNA is filed under the name Lathyrus oleraceus (garden pea). Its description in RNAcentral is "Pisum sativum (pea) long non-coding RNA (PSAT_LNC026562)". Lineage: Eukaryota; Viridiplantae; Streptophyta; Magnoliopsida; Fabales; Fabaceae. The record is from RNAcentral.